UACGAAGGGUGCAAACGUUGCUCGGAAUUAUUGGGCGUAAAGCGCACGUAGGCGGCUCUAUAAGUUGGAUGUGAAAACCCUCGGCUCAACCAAGGAAGUGCAUCCAAAACUGCAGAGCUUGAGUACUUAAGAGGAUCGCGGAAUUCCCGGUGUAGAGGUGAAAUUCGUAGAUAUCGGGAGGAACACCAGUGGCGAAGGCGGCGAUCUGGGAAGAUACUGACGCUGAGGUGCGAAAGCGUGGGGAGCAAACAGG
RNAcentral lists this ribosomal RNA (253 nucleotides) under uncultured bacterium. Its description in RNAcentral is "partial 16S ribosomal RNA". It matches the Rfam family "Bacterial small subunit ribosomal RNA", at positions 524 to 776 of the family's 1533-position model. The record is from RNAcentral.